CCUACGGGAGGCUGCAGUGGGGACUAUUGCACAAUGGGCGAAACCCUGAUGCAGCGACGCCGCGUGAGUGAAGAAGUAUCUCGGUACGUAAAGCUCUAUCAGCAGGGAAGAUAAUGACGGUACCUGACCAGGAAGCCCCGGCUAACUACGUGCCAGCAGCCGCGGGAAUACGUAGGGGGCAAGCGUUAUCCGGAUUUACUGGGUGUAAAGGGAGCGUAGACGGCAGCACAAGUCUGGAGUGAAAACCCGGGGCUUAACCCCGGAACUGCUUUGGAAACUGUGCGGCUGGAGUGCAGGAGGGGUAAGCGGAAUUCCUAGUGUAGCGGUGAAAUGCGUAGAUAUUAGGAGGAACACCGGUGGCGAAGGCGGCUUACUGGACUGUAACUGACGUUGAGGCUCGAAAGCGUGGGGAGCAAACAGGAUUAGAUACCCGAGUAGUC
Molecule: ribosomal RNA, 440 nt
Filed under: uncultured bacterium
Lineage: Bacteria
Description: partial 16S ribosomal RNA
Rfam family: Bacterial small subunit ribosomal RNA
Source: RNAcentral